AAGCCGAGACUGCGAGGGAGAAAAGAGGGGGGCAGUGAGGUAGAGAGAGAGGAGCGAGAGAGAGAGAGAGAGAGGAGCGAGCGCCACGAAAACACACGAGACGAGAGAGAGCGGAGACGACAGAUGCGGACCACCGGCGAGAAAGUAUCCGAACAGAAAAAAGACCUACUUAACUCCAGCAUUCGAGCCUCUCUUACCUUGCUUCUUGCGCACUCUCAACUGCCAAACAACGAUUAAGGCUGGGCUGAACCACGGGGGCAGAUGAAAGGUGGCAACUGGCAACAGAUGUUCUCAUGUGGACUACUUCGCCGCGGUGCCCUUCUUCUGGAGACGUGGUCAGGAAAAGCUGAGUGUGGCCUAAUUGGACUCGCAUUUCCCAGCCUCUGCUGAGUCACGGAUCAGUCCUGACAACGGAAAAGUUCCCCCGGCAGACUGCGUGAGAAUCUCAGCGUAUGCGGCACAUGCGCCACUUCGACAAGGUUGUAUGCAGGAAGGGAGUUGACAGAUAAAACAUGAAGAUAUGGAGCAGUGAUGUUCGGCAUUGAACCAUCAACGGGCCCGAGGAGGGAGCUACCAAACACAAGAACAACACGAAACUGUGACAAUGAAUUUGAAAUGGAUUCCUGCUGAACCUGGGGAAACGUUUUAGAUGGAGAUCACCACACCCUUCAUGGCAACAUUUUAACAACUACUGCAGAUAAUAUUUGUGCCAGAUGAGGAUCCACUGAGGUUCAUACUGGGCGAAUGAAGUUCUGCCAGUUCCUUGGUAUUUUCAUUAUAAACUGAAGAAACAAGUGAAGAUAUUUGGAAGAACAAAUCACAAAUCAUGAACACGGCCGACUCUGCUCGGCUGGCACUGAUACACUGCGAAUGUUUGGCAGAACAGAUACUUCUGUUGGUAGAAGAAAGCACAUCUCUCACAGGGCAGGAAUUUAGUGGCACUGUGAUUUAUCAGAAACCGGAGGGCCUGGGUGGAGCUGGUUCCCUGAACCGGCUUUAUCUCCAUGUGGUCUCCAUUGCCUGUCCUGGGGCGUCAAAUCAAACAAAAGAGCGGCAACAACAGAAUUUUGUUUGGUUACCUCCAAGAAAAAAGAACCACAGGUGGAGAAAAAUGAAACCUUCUGGAGAUCAAAGGAGUAAAACCCUUCACUGCGUCUGGCCUCCACUAACACCACGUUCAUAACUAGUCUUGGUGUUUAGAACCAGUGCACAGGUACUUUGAAAGUAAAGUAAUGUUAGCAGAAGGACGGUAAUGUAUCGCAGCCACAGUGAAUUCAGGACAAGAUGACUUCGAGUUGGAGGAGUGAGUGAGAUCAGGACUGAGAAGCUGCUGAUUCACUGCUCGGGUUCUUUCUCUGGUUCUGGUUUGCACUGUUCCUGUUUGAUGCCAUGUUUUUCAUGCAUUCUUGUGGAAUGCUUUGCCCUCCAACACCUCUCCAAUCCUGUCAGGUGUGUUUGUGUUCUCUCACCCUCGACUGUGUUGGCUGUGGCUUGUUGACGCAAACUCCCUGCAUGUCAUCCUCCAUCUUUUCAUUUGCCGGUUGAUUUCUUGCAAAUGUAAGUGAGGGGUACUGACAAAAAACUAACUAGUCUUACUUUAUUAAUCGUCUUGGGGAGAUUCCAUGUUUCUGCAUUGACCUAUUCUGUUUCUAGGAUGCAGCAUGACGGCAAUCUGAGUCUUGCUCAGGGACCUACAGAGACGAGCUAGAUUCAAACCUGCAAACUCUAAAUUUCAAGUUUGCUUCUGUGACUUCCAGGCCACCACUGUUCCUGUCACAGUAUCGUAUCCAGACCCUCGCCUGUUACCUGACCAGUCUUGGACGGUCUCCAUGUAUCAGACGGACAGUUUUCCCAUGUGUAUCAAAUCCUGCUUCUCCUGUAUAAACAAAGA
This is a long non-coding RNA of Salarias fasciatus (jewelled blenny), 1891 nucleotides long. RefSeq lists it as uncharacterized. The record is from RefSeq and is a predicted model, not a curated record. The transcript is spliced from 5 exons. NCBI's taxonomy places the organism in Eukaryota, Metazoa, Chordata, Actinopteri, Blenniiformes, Blenniidae.